GGAAGUAAAAGUCGUAACAAGAUUUCCGUAGGUGAACCUGCGGAAGGAUCAUUAUUGUAUAACCGAGGUGCGAGGGCUGUCGCUGACCCGAAAGGUCGUGCACGCCCGAGUGCCCUCACACACAUCCAUCUCACCCCUAUGUGCACCACCGCGUGGGUCCCCCUUUGGCUUGUUCGGAGGGGGGCUUACGUUUUCACACAAACUUUGUAUGCAGUGUAGAAUGUACUUUUUGUUUUUGCGAUCACGCAAUCAAUACAACUUUCAACAACGGAUCUCUUGGCUCUC
This 285-nucleotide unclassified non-coding RNA is filed under the name plant metagenome. Its description in RNAcentral is "partial contains small subunit ribosomal RNA, internal transcribed spacer 1, and 5.8S ribosomal RNA". The stretch from base 1 to 54 matches the Rfam family "Eukaryotic small subunit ribosomal RNA", at positions 1778 to 1831 of the family's 1831-position model. The record is from RNAcentral.